Molecule: long non-coding RNA, 572 nt
Filed under: Homo sapiens (human)
Lineage: Eukaryota; Metazoa; Chordata; Mammalia; Primates; Hominidae
Description: HSALNT0017430
Source: RNAcentral
AAAAAUUUGCACCAUUUGUAGUGGGGAGGAGCCUGGCCCCUCCUCUUCCCGUGUGGAAACUGGAGUUUGAACUCCAGGGCAGGAAGCACUCUAGCAAGGGACUCCGGCCUUGCGGAGAAUCCCUGUUUCCUUUUAAUUCUUCCUUUUUACUCAAUAAAGCCCUGUCUUACUCACCAUUCAAAUUGUCUGUGAGCCUGAACUUUCAUGGCUGUGGGACAAAGAACCCCGACUUUAGUUGAACUAUGGAAAAAUCCUGCAACAGCACAAAGCAAGACCAAGUGCCGCCAUCUCUGUAGAAUAGUACAUGGUAAGCAGAGAGCAUCACACCUGAGCAGCAUUCUUACUCAGCUCAACAGCAAUAUCUGAGCCUGAGUUUCCCAUUCCAAUCACCAGGAUGCGUUUUCCCUCAAAUCCAUCUGGAUGCUUGUAUUGGCGGCUAUGGAAAUAUUGGCCUUUGAACCUCUCCAUACCUUCAGGGGGAAGAAGAGAGAAGUCUGUGAGCUCCAGAGCAACUAUGUCAAGCUAAUUUCAAUAAAACUGCAUUGCCAGCUUUUCCUUUCUGGAGUUAAUAA